RNAcentral lists this ribosomal RNA (547 nucleotides) under fungal sp. Its description in RNAcentral is "eukaryotic LSU rRNA". The stretch from base 192 to 345 matches the Rfam family "5.8S ribosomal RNA". The record is from RNAcentral. Lineage: Eukaryota; Fungi.
AAUAAAAGUCGUAACAAGGUUUCCGUAGGUGAACCUGCGGAAGGAUCAUUACCUAGAGUUGUAGGCUUUGCCUACCAUCUCUUACCCAUGUCUUUUGAGUACCUUCGUUUCCUCGGCGGGUCCGCCCGCCGAUUGGACAAACUUAAACCCUUUGUAAUUGAAAUCAGCGUCUGAAAAAACAUAAUAGUUACAACUUUCAACAACGGAUCUCUUGGUUCUGGCAUCGAUGAAGAACGCAGCGAAAUGCGAUAAGUAGUGUGAAUUGCAGAAUUCAGUGAAUCAUCGAAUCUUUGAACGCACAUUGCGCCCCUUGGUAUUCCAUGGGGCAUGCCUGUUCGAGCGUCAUUUGUACCUUCAAGCUCUGCUUGGUGUUGGGUGUUUGUCUCGCCUUUGCGUGUAGACUCGCCUUAAAACAAUUGGCAGCCGGCGUAUUGAUUUCGGAGCGCAGUACAUCUCGCGCUUUGCACUCAUAACGACGACAUCCAAAAAGUACUUUUUACACUCUUGACCUCGGAUCAGGUAGGGAUACCCGCUGAACUUAAGCAUA